GGACUACUGGGGUAUCUAAUCCCGUUUGCUCCCCUGGCUUUCGCGCCUCAGCGUCAGUAGGUGUCCAGCACGCCGCUUUCGCCACCGGCGUUCCUUCCGAUAUCUACGCAUUUCACCGCUCCACCGGAAGUUCCGCAUGCCCCUGCACCCCUCAAGACCACCAGUAUCCACGGCACUUCCCCGGUUAAGCCGGGGGCUUUCACCACAGACUUGGUGGCCCGCCUACGCGCCCUUUAAGCCCAGUGAAUCCGAACAACGUUCGCACGGUUCGUCUUACCGCGGCGGCUGGCAC
RNAcentral lists this ribosomal RNA (292 nucleotides) under uncultured bacterium. RNAcentral describes it as "partial 16S ribosomal RNA". The record is from RNAcentral. RNAcentral also lists the same sequence under 1 other name.